Molecule: long non-coding RNA, 3074 nt
Filed under: Gorilla gorilla (western gorilla)
Lineage: Eukaryota; Metazoa; Chordata; Mammalia; Primates; Hominidae
Description: long non-coding RNA NONGGOT009609
Source: RNAcentral
ACCGGCCUAGGCCGACGGGCUACCCUCAGUGGCAGCUGCUCUUUAUCUGAGCAAUGGGCUUCCACUCACCUUCCCCUGCCCCUGAGGAGAGAAUGAUCAUUGUGUCACUCAAGUAUCUUUGGGACCUCCUGCUGCUUCCUCUGGAUGGUUUGAGUGCAAAGCCCUGGGGUUUGGUUUUCGUUCGGCCCUGGAGAGUUGGUGCUAGCCUCUCAAGUUCUGGGCCCCUGGCAUGGGGCGAGCCUUGGGAGAUGGAGGCACCUCCACCUGACCCUGCAGUAGAGGGUGCCCUGGGCCUGCUCAUCUUAAGACCUUUCACUUGCAGGUGCAAGGCGGGUGGAGCUGAGGCAGGAACCGAGGUUGGCCCUACACAGCUCCCUGCUCCUCCGCACCACUGCAGCAUGGAUGGGGCAGGCCGAGCAAAGCCACAGCCAGCACAGCCCUCUCUGCUGGUCUCGCCCUCACCUGUGAUACGCGGCUCCUGAGAGACAUCAGGCCAGGCUCUGGCAAGAGAGGGGAGAGUGGGUAUGAGACAGUGUCUGCCUGAGCUGGUCCCAUCCACACGCCUGCAGCCUGGCUCUCCUCUGCUUUUUCUGUUUCCUCCUAGUCAGUGGUUCUGCCUGGGCCUUUCUGCCUCCAGGGCCGGGGGGGCUGCCUGAGUGUGCCCCUCAUCCUCUGCGAUGGUUGACUGCCCUGAGCCAAUGCAGGCAGUGCCGAAGGACCCAGUCCACUCACACAUUCUCAGACAGCUCUGCGCACAGUGACUGGGGCCAGCUCUUGAGUCCUGGCAUCCAACGGCAGGUGGCAGUGCCUUUCCAGUUGCUAGAACAGGCCCUUCCCAACAAAAUCACAGGCCUUCAGCAGCAGAGGCGCCCUCUGCCUGCUAUGAUGAUGGUCACGUCACAGCGUGGACAAUGUGUUGCGCAUCAAAUACCAGAUCUCAAAAGGGGAAGGGGGGUGGGUCACAGAAUGGAGGAAAGACUUACAGAAUGAACAUCCCAGGACCGUCUUAGUAACCUCUGACCAGCACAGAGUGGGUUCUAAUAAAUACUGCUGAAUCGAUACUUUGCCAUCUUGCUUGAGAUGAGAAAAUUAGGAUGGACAACCUCACCCCUCAACUGCAGCAGCUUCGUUCCUUCUUGAACUAUCUACCUGCCAACCCUAGAUGCCUGCUGAGAGGUCAAAAGGGAGCAGGAGUGGCAAGACUUCCCCUCCCAUCCCUAAGCCCAUCCUUCUCUGCAGACUUGACACACUGCACACUCCACCUGUCCUGGCUGACGGUGACCCAAGAGCAUCCUUGCCCCUGAGGCUGGGCAUGGGGUCCACGUCUGGUAGAAAGGUCCCAGUGCUCAGUCACAGCCUCAUUCUACCACAGAUGGACUGACAAGUCAACUUUCUGAUGAUGCAGUUCCCAGAGACCUCAGGAUCCUGCCUGUGUGUAGAGUCCCAGGCCAGGACAUUCACUUCCUCUCAAGGACAUCACACUCAUCCCUUCCCGGAAAACCAUUUUAAUUGUAAUAGCUUACACAGGCUGCAGAGAGGGAGACGCAGAGCCGGACCUGACGGGCUGUGCUUUCAAAACUGUGCAGUCUCCUUCCUGGCUCUGAACAGGUUAGCAAGAGUUCUAAGAGGCCCCAGGCCUCCAACCACAAAGGCAGAGAAGUUAGCCCCAGAAAGCUGACAGCUGAAGGCGGGGAGGCUGAGAGUGCUUGGUGUUUGACAGAUGAGUGUUGUGGGAGGAGUAUGGAGUCACACAGAGGCUCCACCCAGCAAGGCCUCUGGCCAGGGGCUAUGUUUAAGGCUGGGGUCAGGCAGAGGCGGGAGCUGCAGGGGAGAGAAGUCUGGCCGGCAAGCCCCAAGGGAAGGACAAAGGCACUGGGGCAGAUGUGACCGUGGACAACCGCAGUGCAGGCAGGGCCCCUACAACGCUACAGCAAGCAAGGCCUUCCAUGAAGCUCAGGGACUUGGCCUCUGCACAAAAGCACCUCCCAGGCAGAAGUUGGAACCAGAGCCCCGAGCCCAACCCUGCCCCAUAACAGAAUGUGGGUGUGGGGCUGGGUCAGCAUGUGGCCCCACCAUCUUUAGCUCAGUGGCAGUUCUGACAGCUUGGGUGGCAAGGAAUCCCAUUUACCCUGCAGCGGCAGCCCCCGCUGGUGUCUCCUGGGCCCUAGAGGAUGGGAGGAAGAGAAGAGAAUGUCAGCGCAGUGCAGAGACUGCCCCCACAGCCGAGCACUCUCCCACCCCGGGCCUUUGCCUCUGCAGGUCCUCCUGCAAGAAUGGCCUGGUCAGCCUCAGCUACCUGAUGGAGAGUCACUGAGGCCUUUUCUGGGCUCCCACAGCACUCAGUCUACCCACGCCUAGAUCCGGGAACAGGCCAGGGAGAGGAUCUGACCACUCUGCAUAUUCUAGACAUGCCAGCAUGCAAGAGGGCAGUUUCCUCUGCCUCCACCUGUCUGAAAGUCUACCUGAACGUAACAACAGGCCCCCAGUUCCAGAGCACACCCCCAAUAACGACAGCUACCAUCUGCAAGAGUGCUCACCAAGUGACAGGCUCUCUAAGCACUUCUCUUGCAAUUUUUCCACUUGAUUCUGACAACAAGCCUGAGAUAAGCCCAGCUAUCAUCUCCAUUUCACAGAGGAAAUGGGGCUGACAGAGGUGAGUGGCAGGCAGCCUAAUCACACAGUCAGUAUGUGCCAGAGCCAGGGGCCAAUCCACCUCCGACUCCAGAUCGAACCUUUACUUGCUGUCCUCUAGGGCAGGGGUGGGCAAACCUUUUCUGCAAAGGGCCAGUCAUUUUGGGCCGGGCAGCCAUACGGCCUCUGCCUCUAGUGUAAAAGCAACCACAGCCAACAUGUGAAUGAAUGAACACGGCUGUGCUCCAAAGCACUUUACCUACGGACACUGAAACGUGGAUUUCAUGUAAUUUUCACGUCACAAAACAGUCAUCUUUUGGUAUUUUUUCAACCAUUUAAAGAUGUAAAGAACAUUCUUGCGGCACGGUGGCUCACGCCUGUAAUCCUAGCACUUUGGCAGGCCGAGGCAGGUGGAUCACCUGCGGUUGGGAAUUUGAGACCAG